Long non-coding RNA from Podarcis raffonei (Aeolian wall lizard), 797 nucleotides. RefSeq lists it as uncharacterized. The record is from RefSeq and is a predicted model, not a curated record. The transcript has 3 exons. Lineage: Eukaryota; Metazoa; Chordata; Lepidosauria; Squamata; Lacertidae.
UCAGGCCGAUAAAUUUAACACUGGCUACAAAUGAAGAAGCUGAGUUAAUCAAAAGACCGCUCCUUAAUAACAAAGCAUAGCCCUAGAAAUCUGAAAAAAAUAUGUGGAAACCUAUGUUCAUAAAUUUAGUCUCAAUAUAAUGGAAAAGUUAACUCAAGGCCACUUCCUGCAUAUCUCUAGCAUGGCUUCGCUUCUCCCUUCAGGCUAGCAAGGCUUAAUUUCCCUUUUGAACGACAGAGAAUGGAUACUACUGAAUCCUGUGUGGAAGGAAAAGAACUAUGCCUUGAAAACUAGAGCUCUUUAAAAUCCCACUUAAUCAGAACAGGGAUUAGGAAAGUCCCAGUUUUCACUGAAUUAAAGUAUCGUCUCUCUGUGUUACAGGUAUAAGAGGCUUCUCCAUCCUCUUGGUGAUAGCCAUAGAAGCAGGCGCACACCCUCUCUGGAGAAGGCCCGGUGCAGAUAUUUCUUAUUUGCUUAAAGCAAUCCUUUUCCUGUACUUAUAUUAAAUCAGACAUGUUGCAAGCAAGGAACGACCAACUCUGUGAAAGGAAAAGCACAGUUCAUAUGAAACAUUUCUUGUGUGAAUGUGCCUUCACAUAGCACUGCAGAGCAGAGACAGAACAACCUCAUGAACUUGUCUUUACUCUCAGAGAUUGUUCACUCUAGGGUGCUGCAAAGAGCUGGAAGAAAUGAGCUUUGUUAAGCUCAGAAUCGGGUGUUAUUUUUUACUUUUGUUGGACAUGUACAACCAGAUACUCUACAGUUUUACACAGAAGCAAGUCCACUUGACUUCUUGA